CAGACAGUAAUGGAAACUGUAUCCUCUGUUCACAGAACAGGAACAGUGUGAGUAGCAGCAGUGAAAAUUUCCCCACACUUUUUCCCCUCUGUGCUUCAAUCCUUACCUGGAAGGACAAACAACUUUUGUUUUGUUUGGCCUCCAUGUUUACCAAAUCGUUUUAUUUUUCUGUGUG
Unclassified non-coding RNA from Chrysemys picta bellii (western painted turtle), 175 nucleotides. The record is from Ensembl. Lineage: Eukaryota; Metazoa; Chordata; Testudines; Emydidae.